ACAUAUGCACAAUUUUGAUUGCCAGUUGAUAUAUAUAAAUAAGAAUAUACCCUUAGGCUAAGAAAACCUGUUUACAGAGUUAAUUUCUAAUUUUAAAUUUGAUUGUCAAUUGAUACAACUUUAAUUUUGUAUCUUUACCUUCAAUCCUUUAAUACAAUGAUGAUCGCCCUACUAACCGCGACCGUUAAGUUUCAAUGCUCCUUUGUGAUUCACACCUGUAUAAUUUUGUUUUGACUCAACACUCCUACCAUCAAAGUUAAGGAUACUUUGUGUUGUACAUUUAUUUCUGAAAGUAAACAUCUUAAGGUUAAAAUGGUUACAAAAUUAUUGCUGUUAGUUGGAUUAAUUUCCAUGGUUACCUCUGAGGAAUAUACAUGGAUGUCUAAUGCCCUAUUUGGAUCGUCACUUGAGCUUUCCUGUAAUGACUCCCGCGUAAUGAUCCAAGCAGACGACAAAAUUUCAUGGAAAACCCCGGAUGGAAAGGUUGUGACCGAUGCAUAUAAUGAUUCUGACUAUAAGGUCAAAGGAGUUCAGGGAGAAAUACUUCUCAUAGACAAUAUCAUGUUCGCCAACAUGGGGAUAUAUACAUGUAUAUUGUCCAAGUCUUCCGAUGGAAUGGCACGUGCCUAUCUGUUACGUGGAGUUAAUCUAGAUGGUCCACAAUUCGCUAACUUAAAUGAAAAAUAUGAAGAAAACAUCACAGUUGCCGUCAUUGCUUCGUUAGUGUUUGCUGUGCCAUUGGUAGGACUAUUGGCUCUCGAGAAAUUCCGAUAUGAAAAACGGAACGAAGACAAACCAGGACAAGCCUACAUCGUGCAUCCCGAGAGGAAAACUCCACCGCAAGUGGUUGUUACUGCCUACGAUAAUCCGGCGUGUGAUAACCAAGUAGAUGAUUUUUCAACACAGCUGUAAAGUUACACUUCUCAAAAACUAGCUUAAAAUUAUUAAUAUGUUUGUUUUACAUAUGCAUACACAAUUUGUUAUUCUCAUACCUAUACAUGUAUUAUCAUAAUGUAUAUUUUUGUAUUCCUUCACGACUACAUGUAUUUAAUUGAGGGAUAUGCAAAAUGCAUGUGCGUGAGAGAGGGACUAUUCAUGUCGAUUGUAAGAAUAUAAUCCAUUUCAAUUGUAUCCAUGUUUUUAGUAUAUUUCUCAAUAAAUAAUAGUUUUAA
Mytilus californianus (California mussel) is the source of this 1172-nucleotide long non-coding RNA. RefSeq lists it as uncharacterized. The record is from RefSeq and is a predicted model, not a curated record. The transcript has 2 exons. Lineage: Eukaryota; Metazoa; Mollusca; Bivalvia; Mytilida; Mytilidae.